CAAAGUCUUCUAACGAUAACAUGAGCCAAUCUAUGCCUCAGACUAUGGUCUGCACCAGUGAAUUACAGCUGUGGAAUCUCUGUACAAUUUGUAUCUGAUCCUCGAAUGAAUGUAAGCUGCAAGCUCUUCUACCUUUAUGACAGCCCUGAAACAUUAUAUGUGAGAUCCUGAGCUUUCUCAAAAGGCAAAGCUGAUCUCUCCAGAUGAGGAACUUGAGGCCCUGGGAAAUGAAGUGUCAUGUCCAAGUUUACACAGUGACGGAACCUGAAUCAGAAGUUCCCAGGCCUUUGCAUUCUGGCUACAGAGAACAUAUCACCAGCUAUUGACCACUGGUUUAAGACACCUGCUUGUGAAAGAUUUUCUUCAUCAGGCCAUUCCAUUAAUAUCAAGUCAUCUGCUUCUGGGUGACAGGAGAGUCAUAAAUGCUAAAGGUGUAAUGUGCUCCUUCUGCGUCAGCAUGUGUCAGCCAUCCUCAGGCACACCUUCAGCCUUCAGUAUUUCCAGCUCCAGGGGAAGAGUCGAGGCCCUUCCACCGCAGCAAAAGAUAGUUUCCAAGUGGAAUCCAAGCACAUCCUACCUAGGUGCUCUGCUUGUGGUCUCCUAGGGCUACAAUCCAGAACUACAAGACCGUUUCUCUCACCCCGAGCCCACCGGGAUGACCUGACCUGCAGUGCCUCAAACUUGUCUGUGUGGCAACAGUGUUUGAUGCCACCGUCCAUCAGAGCAGUGCCUUCUCCAGGGACUAAUUCACCAGAGGCUGCAAGAUCGUCCAUAGGAUGUGCCUCACUGGAGUCAAAGAAGUUGCUAAAAAUUGAAAACAGAACCUCCUGGGUCCUUUGAGUGAUCAACCAGCCUUGGGUGACCUGGCCCGUGCCUAGCUCUCCAGCCUCAGCCCUCUCUGACACCCUCCGGCUUGACAUCUCGUGCUUGGGGCCCUGCCCACAGCCCUGCAGCAGGAAACGUAAGCAGAGGCAAGUGGCAAACAGGACAGAAUCUGUAGCAUAUAUAAAAGUCUGACAGUUUUCAUGUAUAUGACAUAUAUAAACAGUUACUAUGGAUCAGUAAGCAAAUCAUGAGCUGUCCACAAAGAAAAAUCUAUAUAUAAACAGCCAUCCAAAAACAGAAAAAUACAUGUAGGGAGAAUAAACGUAAGGGAUAAAAGCCCAACCAUCAUAGUAACAAAAGAAAUACAAAUUAAAAGGGCGAUGAAUAUUUUCUGCCUUUGUAGGUGAAGUAAGGGGUGAAUUAAGACCUCUCCUAUGAGGCUGAUGAAGUGCAGAUUAGCAAAGAUUCCUCAUGGGAAACUUUACUGCGUGAAAAAAGUCUUUUAAAAUGUGUAAAACAGUGACUAAGCAAUUCCACUGGUACAAAUUUAUCCUGAGGAAAUAAUUAGUAGAUUGAGAAUUUUUUUCACUUUGGGGAUGUAUAACACAGUGUGGUUUCUAAUGGAGAAUACAUAGAAAUAAUCCAAAGUGCCAACAAUUGGGUACUUUUAAAGUAAAUUCCAUACAAUACACUACACGCAUCUAUUUAAAAGGGAAGUAUGGAAGUAUAACUGUUGACAUGAGACGGAUGUUUGUUCGUAAAUUUUUAAGAGAAAAAAGUUUAUAAAAAUAUGACACUAUUUUUUAUUUCAAAAAAGGUAUAUGUAUGAAAUGACAGAGAGAGUAUACACCAAACCAUAAACACUGGUUAUACCUAGAAUAGACUUUCUGGUGAAGAAAUUUGGGGGAAGCCUUUCUACAUUUUUCCAUCUUUGAACAAUAAUACUGAUUUAUUGGUAUAAUAAAAAGUGGUUUAAAAAUAACUCAAAUAAAAUUGCCGAACUUAGAGUUAUUUAUUAUUGAAGGAAUAUACUUGAGCAACUUAAUUUUUAAAAUAAAGCCAGCCAUUUACUUCAAUCCAGAAGACAUUUAUCCAUCUAAGAGCCAGGCGUGGUUGUGUGUUGGUGUAGGGAACACUGGUAAUUCACACAGUCGCUUAAAUAAACCUUGUUAAAUUACAAA
Herpailurus yagouaroundi (jaguarundi) is the source of this 2006-nucleotide long non-coding RNA. RefSeq lists it as uncharacterized. Lineage: Eukaryota; Metazoa; Chordata; Mammalia; Carnivora; Felidae. The transcript is spliced from 8 exons. The record is from RefSeq and is a predicted model, not a curated record.